GGAACUUGCACUCGUUGCGGCGCAACGAUGACAAAAGA
Molecule: non-coding RNA, 38 nt
Organism: Synergistales bacterium 53_16
Lineage: Bacteria; Thermotogati; Synergistota; Synergistia; Synergistales
Source: Rfam